Molecule: long non-coding RNA, 564 nt
Filed under: Equus asinus (donkey)
Lineage: Eukaryota; Metazoa; Chordata; Mammalia; Perissodactyla; Equidae
Description: lncRNA (ENSEASG00005033843.1)
Source: RNAcentral
GAGGGAGAGCGGACUCAGGAUUGGUGAGAACUGGACGUCUUGAAAGUGGCGAAUGGCUUGGCUGGCAGAUUGCGGCCUAGAAGAGGCAAGACUGGGAACCUGGGACAAAGCGGCACCAGCUGCAGGGACCACGAGGACCCAGGUCACUGCCAGAUAAGGGACCACGUGUGGACCCAGAGCUCCCUGUGGCCUCGUUCGCUGCUCCGUGUCUAGUGCAGAUGCUGUGGGGCCUGCUGGCCUCCGAGGGCUCUGACCUGAGCGGAGCUGGUGCAGGCAGAAGGGAAGCUGACGGGACCAGUGCUGGCUCUGUCAACAGCUUCACCUCCGACUCCAGUCACAGUCCCCAGGUCGUCCUCUGCUUUCACAGGCGCCCGUGCUCCCAGCUCCUUGCGGGGUGUGAGGCCGAGCAAAGGCCCCGGCUCUGCCACUGCAGAUUCCACAGCUGCUCCUGGUGAGUGUCACACGCGCAGAAGUGGCCCUGUGUAAAAACACCCACUCUCAGAUCAUAAGUUGUGUCUCUGCGAGUCAGGUGACAGUUUAGGAGCAGAGAGAGUGAUGUUGCCG